UAAACUGUACGAUAGCAACUGAAUUGUUUACAUGAAAUGGUGGAAGAUUUAAAUUUGACUUUAAAAUAUCAUGUCUCAAUUUAUUAACACCAACACUAUUCCAUGUGAAAUUUCACAAGACCAGGACACUUCGUUUUUAAAUUUAAAUGAUUUAUCGAAUGUAAAUGAACUUUAUUAUGAAACUUCUCACCCCGCUACUCAAGAUUUGUUUGAUGUGGUAGAUGAUUAUGAAAGCACAGGAGUUUGAAAUUCUAUCAAUAUAGCUAAUCUAAUGGCUUAAAAAAAAUACCCCUAUAUAGUAUAAGACUAGUCUUUAUACUAUAUAGGAGUAUAUUUUUUUUUAUUUAGCCAUUAGAUUAGCUAUAUUGAUAGAAUUUCAAGCUCCUGUGAUGAAAGUGACCUUGAGUCAAACCAUGAUGAGUCUGAUAUUGAUAUUGAUAUAGAAGCUGUCAAAAAAAACAUCAGACACUGCGUUUAUUGAAAAGUCUGAACUUCGUGUGGCAGAAGCUGAUAAACAAAACAAAUUUAAGGUUGACUUUUUAAAAAUGUUUAAGCACAAGUUUAAUUAAUAAUUAUUAUUAUAAAAAAAAGUGUUAUGUAGAUAAAUAACCAAUAAUUUGAUAUUCUACAGGUUGGGAAGUUACGGUCUUGGCGAACAGCAUUUUCACUUUCAGUGUGACAACUGUUGCGGCCAAAAUAAAAACAACAUAGUCAUCUGGUACCUUCUGUGGGGAGUUCUUGUAGGUUUACACAGAAUCAUCACACUAAGCUUUAUGUUGAUAAGACAUACAAAGUUUACACCAGAUUGGCACUUUGGCAUCUGGAAGUCAAAGUGGAGAAAUGUUGUCUGAUGUCGCUGCGUCUGUGGGGUUAUCGUCAAGGACGGGCCACAACAUCCCCCAGCUUGUGGGGGACUCUUCCAAUCCUGUUGUUAUCUAAGACAGGAAUGAUUACCUUACGACAUUGUUUCACCACAUAAAGAAUGUCACCAAAUUUCAUCAAUUUCCAUGUGUCAGCGGAGCAUCCCGGUGUUGUGGAAUGCAGGGAAUUUAGUGACUCACCAGUAAUCAGAAUCACUCUCAGGAAGGUCUCGAAAGUGAAUGUUAAUGUGAGCUGUGACAACCUGCCAUAAGAAAUGUUUGCGAAAGGGCUUGAUCUGGACCAUCAGUGGUAUUUAUUUGAAAACAUUUGUGAAUUCUGUCGCAUAGAUGAACCAAAAACUUGACAUGUCCGAAACGUGCUACUGGUGAGCAACAAAAAACAGACUGUGCCCCCCAAAAAAGAAGAUGCAUUAAGAUGCGCAUCUGAUCUUCUCUGAUGGUGCCACAACAAUUACAUACAUCAUGUAUCAGUGUUUAUUUUCGCCAAGGUAUUGGGUGAUAUAUUUUCCCACAAACAAUGCAAAAAAUCCUCUAUUCCUAGGAGAGCUAAAACAUGUAUACGAUUUCUAAAUGUGUCAGUUGAUAUUGGUUUUGAAAUGUUCAAUGCAAACUUUUGUUGUUUUAAUUGCUCAAGCUUGUUUUCAAGUUUUUUAUUUCUCAUAUUUACAAAACAAAAAUCAUUUUUUCCAUGUAGAUCUAACCAUGCAAUUGUUUUCACUGUAUGGACA
Molecule: long non-coding RNA, 1609 nt
Organism: Dreissena polymorpha
Lineage: Eukaryota; Metazoa; Mollusca; Bivalvia; Myida; Dreissenidae
Exons: 3
Source: RefSeq, a predicted model, not a curated record